Molecule: long non-coding RNA, 1025 nt
Organism: Eucalyptus grandis
Lineage: Eukaryota; Viridiplantae; Streptophyta; Magnoliopsida; Myrtales; Myrtaceae
Exons: 2
Source: RefSeq, a predicted model, not a curated record
GAUUCAACUCCACGCCCAAAGGCAAGCGCAUGCCUCUGCCUCUGCACUUAGCAUUUUUCGCUUCACCCACCGCCGUCCGGACGCACCGGUCAUCACCUUCGUUGGAUCAUUCUCGCCUCAAGAGGCCGCGCCGACGAGCUGGGUCGGGAGGAAUCGUGGAAAUCCGCUUCACGAUUCAGGAAGCCGCGGCUCCCAAUUUGAUGUGAGACAAAUGCUGGACCCUUCUCACAGUAUUCGUGAAAGCUGCCAAGGCGGUGGCCCCGGCACUAACAUGUGGUUGAUCCGCGGAUGGGGGAAUAUGUAGCCUAGAUUUUGAGUAUGAUAUCAGCAGUCACCUUCUUGCCUCAUGGCUCUCUUGGGAUGUGGAUUAUUCAUCCAGGUCACUACCACGCUUUAAAUGCAGAGGUAAUUUUGAGUCCAUGAUGUGAUAUGGGUAGCUUGUGCUUCCGGGAUCGUUGAUACAAGAGCUUUCAUACUCUUUAUUGUGCUUUAAGCCUUUGUCUACAGCCGUAGGAUUUUGUCCCAUCUCAUCUGCUCCCGUCGGUGAUUCAAUAUGGAUAAUUCGGAGGGAUUUAAAAAUGAACUAGCGUGUUUUCAGCCACAAAUUUUAUUUUGAAGCUCCCAUCUUGUAUGCAUCAUAUUGAAGCAAUCCUUGUCUCUGAUGAAUAGAACAGUUCAUAUCAGAAGCAGACGGUCUUUUAUGGCAGGUUGCAGCGUGUAGGCCCGAAUUAUAUAGCUCAUGCGAUGGUUAUACGGGGCCAAUAGGGGUAGGGGAGGCCCUCAUCGCUAAUCAAUCUGGGAACAGAAGAGAGAAAGGGACUUGAAGACUGUAUUGACUACCUGGUGAUGUCAUCCAUUUCCAUGAACAGUGUCAGUCAAUCAUUGUAUUCAUGGUCUCUUUCUUCAAUGUCUGUCCUUGUCCUCCUCUCUGUAAACUGUGGCUACAUCCAGAUUGCGCACGAGAGGCUCAUUGUCUCCAUUCUGUACUUGGUGCCUGGAAUCCUCUAUUUUAUUAAUUGGCUUUA